ACGUCAGAACUGUUUCGGUCUUCCAUCAGGGUUUCCCCUGACUUCAACCUGAUCAAGUAUAGUUCACCAUCUUUCGGGUCACAGCAUAUCUGCUCAAGGUACGUUCCAGUUAGAGGCAUAAAUAAUAUAAAUAUCAUUAUACAUAACUAUAUAGAACGCCCCGGGAUUGCGUUAAUUAACUAUAAAUAGCUAAAAAACUAAUCCCAUUAAUAGUCAAGUUAAUUUCGCUAUUAGGUUU
This 238-nucleotide ribosomal RNA is filed under the name Drosophila bromeliae. Its description in RNAcentral is "partial 28S ribosomal RNA". Lineage: Eukaryota; Metazoa; Arthropoda; Insecta; Diptera; Drosophilidae. The record is from RNAcentral.